CAUCUCCACUCUCCAGCACUCCCAGACACCCACCUUCUUCUCUGACUGUACCCUAACUUAUCAAAGGUCAUAAUAUACCAUUGCCAUAGCUGUAGGAAUAGAGCAGCUGCUACCCUCUGGUCUUGCCCACACCUUUCCUGUAUGCAACAGCCCACCCCAGGGGCUAUUCUGUCUUGAAAAGGCCAAAGCAGACCCUUCCUUUAUGGGCCUCUGCUGAGCCAUUCUCUGGGUCUGAAGAAUGAACAGACUGCUUGUCUUGUCGCCUGUUUUCAGUCUUUCAUUGUUCCUGAAAAGACAAAAGAAGCCUCAGACUUUAGAUCCCAUCGACUUAGCGCUGGGCUCCAGCUGUUUACAUGCAUGAAACUCCUACCAUCCUCUUUUGAUUUGCAACAUGCGCUGAGCCUAGGACAAAAGAACAUCCUCUUAUUCACAAGUCGUGACUCAUGUGAAAAUUGAAACUUCAUGCUAUUUUUUAUUAAGGGCUUUGCUUUCUUUCUGUGGGUCAGAAUAAUUGGGGGAGGGAGAAGAUAAACACAGUAAAAUAAACAUGAACAAUGGAUAAAUCCA
Molecule: long non-coding RNA, 567 nt
Filed under: Monodelphis domestica (gray short-tailed opossum)
Lineage: Eukaryota; Metazoa; Chordata; Mammalia; Didelphimorphia; Didelphidae
Description: lncRNA (ENSMODG00000036015.2)
Source: RNAcentral